UGGGGUAUCGUCCAGUGGUUAGGACACGGGUUUUUGGUGCCUGUAACCUAGGUUCGAAUCCUAGUACCCCAGCCA
Molecule: transfer RNA, 75 nt
Filed under: Parafannyhessea umbonata
Lineage: Bacteria; Bacillati; Actinomycetota; Coriobacteriia; Coriobacteriales; Atopobiaceae
Also listed under: 2 other names
Rfam family: tRNA
About the family: Transfer RNA (tRNA) molecules are approximately 80 nucleotides in length. Their secondary structure includes four short double-helical elements and three loops (D, anti-codon, and T loops).
Source: RNAcentral